UAAGUCUUCCAUGUUAUCACGUACAUCAACAGAUUCAUUUAAAAUUGCAACUUCGGGAAUUUCUGUAUGAUUAAUUAGUAUUGUUCAUUUCCUCGCCAAGGUAUUCUUCUUCGGACUCUCGAUGCAGAGUCCAUCGGCGUUGCUCAUAAAGUUUAUCCCAACCCCUCCAAAGUAAAUGUUUAUGCACGAAUUCACGGUCCCCCCAUUUACGACACUUACAGUCUCUACAUGGGCAUCUUAUUUUAUUAUCAACGUCACAUUUAGCGAAGGCAAAA
This 275-nucleotide long non-coding RNA is filed under the name Erythranthe guttata (spotted monkey flower). Its description in RNAcentral is "long non-coding RNA (EGUT_LNC003263)". Lineage: Eukaryota; Viridiplantae; Streptophyta; Magnoliopsida; Lamiales; Phrymaceae. The record is from RNAcentral.